CCCCUAGAUGUUCUGGGCCGCACGCGCGCUACACUGAACAGUUCAACAAGUCUUAACCUUGACCGAUAGGUCUGGGUAAUCUUUGAACGCUGUUCGUGAUUGGGAUAGACCUUUGCAAUUAUGGGUCUUCAACGAGGAAUUCCUAGUAAACGCAAGUCAUCAGCUUGCAUUGAUUACGUCCCUGCCCUUUGUACACACCGCCCGUCGCACCUACCGAUUGAAUGGUCCGGUGAAAUCUCGGGACGGCGGCUUGGUCGCUUGCGUCCGACUGCUGAAACUUGAUUAAACCAUAUCAUUUAGAGGAAGGUGAANUCGUANCA
This 320-nucleotide ribosomal RNA is filed under the name uncultured eukaryote. RNAcentral describes it as "partial 18S ribosomal RNA". It matches the Rfam family "Eukaryotic small subunit ribosomal RNA", at positions 1470 to 1796 of the family's 1831-position model. The record is from RNAcentral.